Molecule: long non-coding RNA, 659 nt
Organism: Microtus ochrogaster (prairie vole)
Lineage: Eukaryota; Metazoa; Chordata; Mammalia; Rodentia; Cricetidae
Source: RefSeq, a predicted model, not a curated record
CCUCUUCCUUCCACCCACCUUCAGACCUAGCACCCCGACUUUAACUGCAACUCCCCCAGGGGCUUGAGGCAGCGAACGAUGCGAAGCUGAUCCCAACACUGGCCUUCUUUUCUCUCACUGCCCUGGAGUGAACAUUCAUGGCAUCCCGAGAAAACCCUGCAAACACACUUUCACAGCCCCUGUGCAAGACUCAUACUUCUGCUGUGAUUGCAUCACACAGGUAACGCGGCUGUUCCAAGCAGUCCCAUUUAACCUCCAUCCAGAAGCAGGGCCAUCAGUUAACAAAUCGAACUGACUUUGCUGCUGAAAAGCUGCCUGCAUUAUCAGGAAGAAAGCGGGUGGGAAGGUGGAAUCCAGGGAAGGUGGUCUAUAUAGGCUUGCCUGUAAGAGGUCCAUCUUUGCUACUAUUCCGAGACAGCUAGACUGCUGUUUGUGGGCUGCCCAGCCUGAGCUCUUUCAGUCUAAACCCACCCUGUUCCAGUGAAGCAUCUAACAAUGUUUUACCAUUCCCAACGUUAAAAAACAAAUCUGUGAUUCGGUGAAUCUUUGGCAAAACAUUCAGAAGCAAAGUGAACCGUUUACUGAGUGGGAUUAUUUCCAGUCCGCAAAGGAAGAUGUUUGGAUUCUGGGCUGUUAUGCAGCAGUUGAAACAGAUUCAG